Molecule: ribosomal RNA, 236 nt
Filed under: uncultured bacterium
Lineage: Bacteria
Description: partial 16S ribosomal RNA
Rfam family: Bacterial small subunit ribosomal RNA
Source: RNAcentral
AAGAGCAUUAGGCGUCCUUUAGUUUNGAGUNAAAUGCGGGCUCANCCCGUAUGGCUUUGAUACUGGGGACNUGAGUGCAGGAGAGGAAAGGGGAAUUCCCAGUGUAGCGGUGAAAUGCGUAGAUAUUGGGAGGAACACCAGUGGCGAAGGCGCCUUUCUGGACUGUGUCUGACGCUGAGAUGCGAAAGCCAGGGUAGCGAACGGGAUUAGAUACCCCGGUAGUCCUGGCCGUAAAC